UUUGUGGUUGUUAUCUACGCACUAGUGUUUUCCUUUUCAGUUAGUACAAUGUUUGAAAAAAAAUCGGGGGAUAUCGAUAAGGUUCGUGCCUCUCGCACCAAAUAUAUGGCGGGGUUGGCCGAAGGAUGAGAUCUCACUGAGCUUUGGGUUUGUGAUUCUUCUCUCUUGAAGCGCUUUCCUGAAAUAAUUAUGUUAUCUGCACUAAAACCUUUCUCCUGUCUCUGUUGCUAAAUUCCUGAAAAGCUCUAUGAACGUGGAGUGCAAGAAUAUCUGCAGCGGAGCAUUAAUCUAUUUUGUGGGACUUCCUUGGUUCUGCUGAGGAGCAUGAUCAGUCAGUGUCAUGAUGGUCACAAUCUGUUCUUUCAAAAAUGAGGGAUUUGUAAGAGCCUGCACUCACUCAGGGGGUCUACAUGUGACAAAAUGGCAGCUAACUCUGGGAAGCCUACAUGGGAUCAACUGGGCAACAUGGCUGGAUCCGAUGCUAACAAACUGCAAGGGUUUCUGGCAAAUGGUGACAAACUGCUACCAACAGAAAGAAAAGAACAGUCAUGCGGGAGCUACUACGUUUGAAGAGUAUGAAAUGCAUGACUUGACUCGAAGCCGGAAAGCAGUCCAGAGAACAGUUCAACCUUUGAAAAGUUCUCUCUGUCCGUUCCAGAUGUUUUGCUUGAGGUUCUUCUUAGACCAACACCCAAAGGGCCUGUGUAGGACGACUUGCAACUCUCAGCAGUAAUUUCAUAGAAAGAUCACAAAGAAGAUGGAUGCUGGUGUUACCAGGUCUUGGCGUCUUGGUCGUUCGAUAAUACCCAGAAGUAAGAAAACGAUGGGAUGUGUGCACUUUCCAAGUGACACAAGAAGCAUUUUGGGGGUCAGUUGGACAAAGCCUCCAGCAGCAAAACAUGGUGUUGCUGUUCCUGCUACCAGCAGAGAAACCACAAUGCUCUGCUUUGGAAACCACUAUGCUCUGCUUUGAAGUUCACGAAAAUGGGUCGAAAAACAAAAUAAAAUGAUCGGAGCAUUUUUGCCCGCCUGGUAGUCUAGCAAAUGUUUCUAUUGGUGGGCUUCAAGUUUACCACAUGCCUGAGGUGGGAAAAGCAACUGAAAAUGUCUACAGAAAUGCAAGCAUAAACCAAAGACUUGAGGAACCAUGCAUCUUGACUGCCUGCUGAGUCUAUUCACCACAGCCACCGUAAUAUUUUUCUCACCAAAUAGCCUGUCAACCACGGCAUGCGUGACCCGGACCAUGCAAAAUGGUUCCCACUAUCUGCACUUUAUAAAGGGAACAUACUCCUACUGUCCUAUACCAUUGGAAGCCGCAGGCCAGCAGCAAAAUGGUGGCUACUCCCAUUCUGCACCACCUCCACAUCCUCACGCUCCUCCUCAUAUGCUCCUGUUCCAUGCACGCUUCAGCCAACACCACCACCGCCGUCCCCUGCCUCCCAGACCAAGCCUCGGCCCUCCUCCACCUCAAACAUUCCUUCACACAUGCAAACCUACCGUCAUGGCGAGCUGGAAAAGACUGCUGCCACUGGGAGGGCGUCGCGUGCGACGCAGCCUCCGGAAGGGUCAUCUCCCUUAACCUCAGCAACAUCGACGCAACGAUCCACCGCGUCGACACCGCACUCCUCAACCUCACCUCCCUGAAGAGCUUGAGCCUCACCACCACACGCAUUUCCGAGGGGCUCUCUACACUGAGCAAGCUUCCCUCACUGAACACUCUGGAGCUUCAUGGGUUGAGCUCCUCGGACCUGGUAGGCCCGGAGCUAUCUUCGAUUGGCGAUAUCAGGCAGCUGACAUCUCUGCACCUCGAGGGCUAUGAUUUCUCUCGGUCACAACCCUCUUGGAUCGGCAAUCUGACGGGCUUGGCGCACCUGCGCAUGCACGGUUGCAGUUUCGCCGGGCCAGUGCCUGAUCAGAUUGGCACUCUUGCAAAGCUGACGCUGCUGGAUUUGGAAAAUUGCAACUACACCGGGCAAUCGGUUCCUUCAUGGAUUGGAAACCUUACAAGGUUGACAACGUUGAGUAUCCAAGGUUGCCGGCAUUCUGGGUCGAUUCCCUCGGCAAUCGCAAACUUGACCCGGCUUGAAGUUAUACGGCUAGGGAACAACAGCCUUGUCGGGAAAAUUCCACAAUCGUUGUUCGCUUUUCCAGCAUUGAAAGUGCUUUCCCUAAAGAACAAUCAACUCUCUGGUCAUCUUGAAGACAUUCCUUUCCCUCUAUAUUCAUCCUUGUCUACUGUUGAGAUAAACGACAACCAGUUAACUGGCCAUAUACCCAAAUCAAUCCUUCAGCUUAAACAUCUUGAAUACCUCAACCUUGAAUCAAAUAGAUUGUCAGGCACAAUCAAACUAAGCCCUUUCUGGAGGUUGGAGAGACUCUUUUUUCUUAGUCUAUCCAAUAACAAGCUAUCAAUCGCCGACGAAGAAGGUGCUGACGUUUUAAAAUCUCUUCCUAACAUCUACCAGAUACACCUUGCAUCCUGCAACCUCACAAAAUUUCCGGGUUCACUGAGAUAUCUAGAUAAAGUUUCUGUUCUUGACCUUUCAAGUAAUCAAAUAAAUGAUGUUAUACCAAGUUGGGUAUGGGAGAACUGGAAGGACCAGCUUGAGAGUUUGAACCUCUCGCGCAACAUGUUCACGGCUUUGGAGAAGUUUCCUUCUCUUGUUCAUAUGCCACGCCUAACUGCUCUUGAUCUCAGCUUUAAUAGGCUUCAAGGCAGCAUACCAAUACCGGUAACUGCAGUGUCUGGGAAUGUAUUAGAUUAUUCAAACAAUAACUUCUCUUCCAUUCUUCCUGACUUUGGAAGAUAUAUUAGAAGCUUCUACCUCAAUUUGUCCAAGAAUAAAUUAAAUGGUUAUGUACCAUCUUCCAUCUGCAGUGCAAGCCAUCUCAAUAUCUUGGACCUGUCUUAUAACAAUUUUAGUGGAUCACUCCCAUCAUGCCUUAUUGGAAGUGGGAAACUAACCGUGUUGAAGUUGAGAGAAAAUCAAUUCAACGGGACGUUCCCUGAAAAUAUUAGAGAGGAGUGCAAGUUUCGAACAAUAGAUUUGAACAGAAAUCAAAUUGAAGGUGAACUACCAAGAGCAUUGUUAAAUUGUCAAGACUUAGAGCUUCUUGAUAUUGGUAACAAUCAGGUCCGCGGUUCCUUUCCAUCUUGGUUGGACAUUCUUCCAAAGCUUCGGGUCCUUGUCUUACGGUCCAACCAGCUCAAUGGAACAAUAAGGGAUCUUGAUGGUGACCAUGGAACCACCAACCAGUUCCCUAGUUUGCAAAUACUCUGUUUGGCUUCCAACAGAUUCUAUGGACACCUGCCAAAAGGAUGGUUUAAUAAAUUCAAAGCAAUGAUGGAAAAUGUCAACGAGGAGGGACGAGUUUUAGGCUAUUACACAAACACAACGCAUGGAUUUUAUCAAGACACUGUUACCAUCACACUUAAGGGAUCCGACCUUAUUUUCACCAAGAUUCUAACUACUUUCAAAGCAAUCGAUUUCUCAAACAACUCAUUUGAUGGCCAUUUUCCAGAGUCAAUUGGGAAUCUUGUUUCGCUUCACGGGGUUAAUAUGUCAUCCAACAACUUCACGGGACAAAUGCCAUCUAGCUUCAGUAACUUGUCUCAGCUGGAAUCGUUGGACCUCUCUUGGAACCGGAUUUCAGGAGAAAUCCCGCAAGUGCUGACCUCUCUUACCUCUCUUGCUUGGUUGAAUCUUUCAUACAACAACUUGGUUGGAAGAAUACCGCAGGGUAACCAGUUCUUGUCAUUUCCCAAUAGUUCAUUUGAAGGCAACGUGGGGCUAUGUGGAAAUCCGCUCUCUAAACAAUGUGAGACUACAGAUUCAACUGCUUCAAGUGCAUUGGCCCCUCCUGAACCUUAUAAUUUGUGGCAGGAUAGACUUGAUGCCAUCCUUCUCUUCACAUUUGUUGGCCUGGGGUUUGGAGUGGGCUUUGCAUCGGCAAUUACGUUCCGAAUGUUUUGCCACAUCAAAGGAUUGGACUGCAAGCAAUGCAACAAGGAAGUAUGAAUAGAAGAAGGUACAAGCUCAGGAAUUAUUAGAGAACAGUAUAUGAGAAGUACAACUGGAGUUUAUCAUCCCCUGAUCAUCCUACAAGUAGAGUGAUGCGGAGUAAAAAUAAAAAUUUUUUGAAGAUUUUAAAAGCACAAAUGUGAGUUCGGUGUACCGGUAGCACGAUAAGCUCGGGUGCACCGGAUAUUUUCCCCAUCUUGAGGACAUGCUUGGCACCAUUCGGGACCGCCGCGGAGAGGUCCAGUCCGCUGGUGUUGCCAGGCAGUGCCGCGAAGAAGUCGGGGCACUCCCACAUGGUGGAUGAGUUGGAGGAGUAGAGCGGGUGAUCAACCCUGCUCCAACUCGCAAAGUCCUCACUCUUGUACAAGAGUGCCGCACUGUAGCCGUCCAGCUCGGCCCCAACUGCUAUCCUCCACUGCCCAUCCGGUCCGGUCCAGCCGGUCGUCGGAUCCCUGAACUGUUUUGGGGUCAGACCCGGCCCAUCCGGCCGGAUCACCGGGUUGCUGCUGGGCUUGGUCCAUUCCCUGAGGUACGGGUCGGAGCUGUUACUCGGGAAGGCGAUGCAUUGGGCUUGGUUCUUCACGUCGUCUGCGCCGGUGUAGAGGAUGGCUGGCCGGCCAUCGGUGAGGACAGUGACUGAGCCAGACCAGCAGCCCCUGGCAUCGUAGGGCUCGGUCCGGUCCAAUGCCGACGCGAGCCUGAGCCAGUUGACGAGGUCGGUGGAGACCGAGUGGGCCCAGGUCUUGUUGCCCGGAACCACACUGCCGGGGUUGUACUGGUAGAAGAGAUGGUACAAGCCCUUGUAGUACAGAGGUCCUGAUGAAUGAAGCAACUAGUUACAUCCAUCUACUGCUCUACGAUUGAUUUUAUCUUUGAUAAUUAAGAGUAAGGGAGAUGCAUACAUAGCUGCAUACCAUUUGGAUCUGUAUGGUCUUGGUGGCGAGGAUUUCCAUGCCGUGUGAAACAAUGAUGAAGAAAUGUUAGAUAUAGAAUUCAGAACCCAAAUGUGUAACAAAUAUGUUUCUGACAUUGCAGCGGCCAAAGGGGAAAAUUGAAGGCAGGUGAAGAAGCUAAAUUAUCUGACAAGCUUCUCCGGACCAUACAGACAAGCGACUAGUGCAUCGCUAUAACAUUAAUUUACAAUGCAAUCAAGUGAAGGUUCAGACUAACAGU
Molecule: RNA transcript, 5195 nt
Organism: Triticum aestivum (bread wheat)
Lineage: Eukaryota; Viridiplantae; Streptophyta; Magnoliopsida; Poales; Poaceae
Gene name: receptor-like protein 54
Exons: 6
Source: RefSeq, a predicted model, not a curated record